AUUGGAAGUGCACACAAACACGCUCGUCUACAAAGAGAUUUUAGUUCUCAUAGUGUUAACUGCCCCUUCCCUGCACUCCUCUCCCCCCGCUCCACCCCCGCCUGCGGCAAGCACGACCCAGAUCACAUUAGAGUCCCAGAGCACAGGGAACGGUUCUCAUCUAUCCGUCACCAAGGAGGCAGACAGGACAGGGAAACAAGAAGUCAUUUGUACCUGAUGAGGAGGACACUCCUGGGAAACAAACAGAUGAGCCACCACAUGAAUCUGAGCUAUUCUCUGAGGGAACAGUUUUCUCCAUGUACCUGUUGGGGGAGAGAAACAAGGCUGCUUCGACCAUCAAUCUGUGGGACCUCAGAUCUCAGCCUGAAAGCAAGGGUGAAACGAAAUACGAAAAUUGCACUGCAGUAGAAGAGGAGUCAGCUAUCUGAGGGCCUCUGCUGAAAUCCCAUCUUUCGGGUAAGGUUUCUUAUGCAUUUUCGUGUUUUGGUCACCUGACAGUAGCUCUCUGGCCUAAUUGGUUUCCUAGUUAACAGACUAAGUAAUGAUGUAACCAGAGUGUGUGGGAACCAGACCUGUGUGACAGAUACAAUUUUUCCCAGCCAUACUAAUUUUGCCUGCUUACCUGGUUCUGCUGCUGGUUAUCUGGAAAUUUGAACUACUUAAAGGAUAUAAUGAGCUUAGCAAAGGUUGAGACACAGCUUAAUCAUUUAACAUAAAAUUAUCAUCAGCCACAAAAUAUAUUUACUUGUGAAGUCCAGUUAUUUUUCUUACUAAAAAUCACUAUAUAUUAAUAUAUACGGUUGCGUCUACAGAAAUUAUUUACUUUUGCUGUGGUUAGCUAAAGUGAGGAUUAGUUGUAGCCUAAAGGAGAUCAACUUGGUUCAGUUGCAAAUGUCUCAGGAUCCACUUUUUGCUCUUCGCUUCCUGCUGUCCCAGAGUGCUCUCACACAGACAGUGUUGCUCGUUUGUGCUGGUCGUGUUUGUAGCUUCAUGCUCUUGCUAUUGCUUGUAUGGCAGGGCUUCAGAAAGCCUCCAGUUAAGAUCAAGGUCUUAUGGAACUGGGCACUAUAUAAAUGUAUAUAGAGAAACAGUCCUCUGCAUGCAAAGGAGUUGCAUCCCAAGUACAUCAAAGCUUUGAAGAGACAGAGCAGAACCUCUGAGACUCAUUUAAAAAAAAAAAAAAUCAGCCUGAGAAGCAGCCCCAUGUAAAACAAAUGAAAGUAAUUGGGGAAUGGAGGUGAGAUGGAAAGGGAAAACCUGGCUUGGAGGAGUUGAGUCCAGUUUCCUUCUCCAUGUGGCAAGAUGAAGGGCAAAGGGUUUAUCCCUGCUAUAACAUAAAAUCACAGCAACUGCAGGCACCUUGUACUGGGGAGACCUGGUCGUGAGAGCAGCUCGAGUGAGGGAUAUG
RNAcentral lists this long non-coding RNA (1408 nucleotides) under Anser cygnoides (Swan goose). Its description in RNAcentral is "lncRNA (ENSACDG00005000148.1)". Lineage: Eukaryota; Metazoa; Chordata; Aves; Anseriformes; Anatidae. The record is from RNAcentral.